CCUACGGGAGGCUGCAGUGGGGAAUAUUGGACAAUGGGCGAAAGCCUGAUCCAGCCAUGCCGCGUGUGUGAAGAAGGCCUUCGGGUUGUAAAGCACCUUCAGUGGGGAAGAAAGCCUUGGGGCUAAUACCCUCGAGGAAGGACAUCACCCACAGAAGAAGCACCGGCUAACUCCGUGCCAGCAGCCGCGGUAAUACGGAGGGUGCGAGCGUUAAUCGGAAUUACUGGGCGUAAAGCGCGCGUAGGCGGUCUGAUAAGCCGGUUGUGAAAGCCCCGGGCUCAACCUGGGAACGGCAUCCGGAACUGUCAGGCUAGAGUGCAGGAGAGGAAGGUAGAAUUCCCGGUGUAGCGGUGAAAUGCGUAGAGAUCGGGAGGAAUACCAGUGGCGAAGGCGGCCUUCUGGACUGACACUGACGCUGAGGUGCGAAAGCGUGGGUAGCAAACAGGAUUAGAUACCCUUGUAGUC
Molecule: ribosomal RNA, 465 nt
Filed under: Vreelandella stevensii
Lineage: Bacteria; Pseudomonadati; Pseudomonadota; Gammaproteobacteria; Oceanospirillales; Halomonadaceae
Description: partial 16S ribosomal RNA
Rfam family: Bacterial small subunit ribosomal RNA
Source: RNAcentral